UCACUCUAGCGAGACUGCCGUUGACAAAACGGAGGAAGGUGGGGACGACGUCAAAUCAUCAUGCCCCUUAUGUCCUGGGCUACACACGUAAUACAAUGGCGGUCAACAGAGGGAUGCAAUACCGCAAGGUGGAGCGAACCCCUAAAAGCCGUCCCAGUUCAGAUUGUGGGCUGCAACCCGCCCGCAUGAAGUCGGAAUCGCUAGUAAUCGCAGAUCAGCAUGCCGCGGUGAAUACGUUCCCGGGCCUUGUACACACCGCCCGUCACACCAUGAGAGUCGGGAACACCCGAAGCCUGUAGCCUAACCAUUCGGAGGGCGCAGUCGAAGGUGGGUUCGAUAAUUGGGGUGAAGUCGUAACAAGGUAACCGUAAA
RNAcentral lists this ribosomal RNA (372 nucleotides) under uncultured bacterium. Its description in RNAcentral is "bacterial SSU rRNA". It matches the Rfam family "Bacterial small subunit ribosomal RNA", at positions 1135 to 1506 of the family's 1533-position model. The record is from RNAcentral.